This is a long non-coding RNA of Aphis gossypii (cotton aphid), 299 nucleotides long. RefSeq lists it as uncharacterized. NCBI's taxonomy places the organism in Eukaryota, Metazoa, Arthropoda, Insecta, Hemiptera, Aphididae. The record is from RefSeq and is a predicted model, not a curated record. The transcript has 3 exons.
CUCAUUUAAAAGCGAUGACGAGGAGUCGGUUGUAUUUUCCGAAGAUAAUAUUGCAACAACAUCUCAAAAAAAAGGUACAUCGAAAAGGUUAGCUGUAAAACCGGAGAAGAAACCGGUAUCGAAAAAGACGAAAAAGACAAAAUAUUAGAUUUAAUAACAGAUCCAACUAUACCAACCGAUGCAGAGAACACCUUGAAUAUAAAAAAGGAUGAUUGUUCAUUAACGGUUAAGACACCUGUAGACAAUACGGCUGUAGAUUACUGGACUAUAGCACAUUGUAAAUGUGCUAAAAUUGCUAA